Molecule: ribosomal RNA, 497 nt
Filed under: uncultured bacterium
Lineage: Bacteria
Description: partial 16S ribosomal RNA
Rfam family: Bacterial small subunit ribosomal RNA
Source: RNAcentral
GAUGAACGCUGGCGGCGUGCCUAAUACAUGCAAGUCGAGCGAACGGACGAGAAGCUUGCUUCUCUGAUGUUAGCGGCGGACGGGUGAGUAACACGUGGAUAACCUACCUAUAAGACUGGGAUAGCUUCGGGAAACCGGAGCUAAUACCGGAUGAUAUUUUGAACCGCAUGGUUCAAAAGUGAAAGACGGUCUUGCUGUCACUUAUCGAUGGAUCCGCGCUGCAUUAGCUAGUUGGUAAGGUAACGGCUUACCAAGGCAACGAUGCAUAGCCGACCUGAGAGGGUGAUCGGCCACACUGGAACUGAGACACGGUCCAGACUCCUACGGGAGGCAGCAGUAGGGAAUCCUCCGCAAUGGGCGAAAGCCUGACGGAGCAACGCCGCGUGAGUGAUGAAGGUCUUCGGAUCGUAAAACUCUGUUAUUAGGGAAGAACAUAUGUGUAAGUAACUGUGCACAUCUUGACGGUACCUAAUCAGAAAGCCACGGCUAACUACGUG